AUGGCGGUCCGGUGGCUGUUGCUGCUUUUCGUGGGCCUCGCCGGCGGCGGGGUCCAUGGCCAGGUUGAUAACUUAGGCUUUGUAAGCAUCGACUGCGGCCUGCCGGAAAAUGUCGUCGGCUACGUGGAUAACGGCACCGAACUCCGGUACGUCUCAGACAUGGGCUUCAUCGACACGGGCACCAACCACAAUUUGUCGGCCGAGUACAUCAAGCCAUCGAUAGGCAAGAUUUGGCACACGGUGCGGAGCUUCGCCGGUGGCAGCGUCGGUGCGCGUAGCUGCUACACGGUCCGGUCCCUCGUGUCCGGGCUCAAGUACCUCAUCCGGGCGGGAUUCAUCUACGGCAACUACGACGGCCUCAACCGGCUGCCCGUCUUCGACCUCCACAUCGGCGUCAACUACUGGCAAACCAUCAACAUCUCGGUAGCCGGCGUGAUGGCUGAGAUCAUCACCGUCGUACCUGGCGACUCCAUACAGGUGUGCCUUGUGAACACCGGCUCCGGUACGCCGUUCAUCUCUAGCCUGGACGUCAGGCCCCUAGAGAACAAGUUCUAUCCUCACGCGGACGAGUCACAGGGGCUGGUUCUGGUGUCCAGGACCAACUUUGGCGCAAGUGAUACCACAUUCGUUAGGUACCCAGAAGACAAGUUCGACCGUAUAUGGUCCCCAUGGAGCAACUCGACAAUUUGGUCGGUGAUCUCGACGACUGAGAAGGUGCAGAAAAGCGCCACCAACGGCAACGACACUUUCGAGCCACCGUUGCCCGUGAUGCAGACUGCCAUCACGCCCAUCAACUCCUCCAGCCCCAUCGACUUCACCUGGGAUGCCCAGGCCAGCACCACCAACAACCCAAACCCCGGCACCAAACCCGUCUAUGCCUCCAACCAGUACAACAUCUCACUGGAUGCCACCGUGAACUCGACACUUCCGCCGAUCAUCAACGCUGCCGAGAUCUACUCUGUCAUCCCCACCACCAGCAUAGCCACUACCACUCAAGAAGAUUUAUGUGUUGCUGCUGAGAAUGCCACAGUUUCUGCCAUCUCGGCCAUCAGAGACAAGUACCAUGUGAAGAAGAACUGGAUGGGUGAUCCAUGUGCGCCCAAGAAUUUUGUGUGGAAUGGAUUGCGUUGUAGCUAUGCUGCUUCUAGCCCGUCAACUGUCACAGGCUUGAAUCUAUCUUCCAGUGGUCUCAGUGGCAACGUGUCAUCUUCUUUGGCUAGUAUUAGAGGUUUACAGUACUUGGAUUUGUCACACAACAAUCUGACGGGCUCAAUUCCUGAGAGCCUUUCACAAUUGUCGUCGCUCGUGUUUCUAUAUGGUAACAAUCCAAACCUCUGUGGCAAUGGAAAUUCUUGCCAACCUCCUAAAAAUAAGAGCAGCUCUAAGGUUGUCGUCUAUGUACUUACCCCAAUAGUUGUAGUGUUCGUGAUUGUGCUUUCGUCAGUUAUGUUCCUUUGCAUGCGAAGGAGAAUGCAAGGAACAACAAGCAACCACGUCAAGGCACAAAACGAGGCAAAUAUCACGCCCUUGCACUCCCAAAACAACAACGAGCACGAUUCAUUGCGUUUGGACAAUCGACGGUUCAAGUAUGAUGAACUCGUGGCCGUGACAAACGGCUUCCAGCGAGUGAUCGGCCGAGGAGGAUUCGGGAAAGUGUAUGCUGGAUGUUUGGAGGAUGGCACACAAGUGGCUGUCAAAUUGCGUUCUGAAUCUUCAGAUCAAGGUGUACAAGAAUUCCUAGCAGAGGCUCAGACCUUGGCUAAGAUUCAUCACAAGAAUCUCGUGUCCUUGAUUGGCUACUGCAAGGACAGGGAGUACAUGGCCCUUGUCUACGAGUACAUGUCUGAAGGAGCCUUGCAUGAACAUCUAAGAAGGAGAGAGAACAAUGCAAGGUGUUUAACCUGGAGACAGAGUCUUCGUAUCGCACUGCAAUCCGCGCAAGGACUAGAGUAUCUGCACAAGGGAUGCAACCCGCCCCUCAUCCACAGGGAUGUGAAGACGUCCAACAUAUUGCUGAAUGCAAACCUGGAGGCAAAGAUCGCCGAUUUUGGCCUGCUCAAGGCUUUCAACAGUAACAAUGAUACCCAUGUGUCCACGGCCCGGGUGGUCGGCACACGCGGUUACCUUGCCCCUGAGUACCUAACAACAUUUCAAUUAACCAACAAGAGUGACGUGUUCAGCUUCGGUGUGGUGCUUCUCGAGAUAAUCACAGGGCAACCUCACAUCCUAAACGAUCCAGAGCCGACAAGCAUUGUCCAGUGGGUGCGACAGCGCCUCGCCCAUGGCAACAUUGAAACUGUAGUAGAUGUGCGCAUCCACAACGAUCAUGAUGUCAACAGCGUGUGGAAAGCCACAGAGACUGCGCUCAAAUGCACGGCCCAGCUACCAGAGCAACGGCCCACGAUGACUGACGUGGUGUUACAACUACAGGAGUGCCUUAAGCUUGAGGCCACGCGCAAGGACGUGAAUGCUUGA
Molecule: ribosomal RNA, 2475 nt
Filed under: Triticum aestivum (bread wheat)
Lineage: Eukaryota; Viridiplantae; Streptophyta; Magnoliopsida; Poales; Poaceae
Description: partial small subunit ribosomal RNA
Source: RNAcentral